Molecule: RNA transcript, 1434 nt
Organism: Magnolia sinica
Lineage: Eukaryota; Viridiplantae; Streptophyta; Magnoliopsida; Magnoliales; Magnoliaceae
Gene name: serine/threonine-protein kinase TOR-like
Exons: 4
Source: RefSeq, a predicted model, not a curated record
CAAUAUGGGAAUGAGGGAAGCAUUGUACUGCUCCAAGCCUACUUAGAUCAAGUGAAAUUUCAGAGCGAAGACUUUCAGUCAAAUCCAGAUCUUCUAUCAGCUAUCUUUAGAUACUUUUUGGGUAGACCAAAUUUCACCACAGUUUUCUAUGAAGCACUGAGAAGUAAAUUGAUGAGUGAAGGAUUUCUAGAAGGUCUCUCCAAGCAAUUGCAUUUGUCUACACCCAAGAAUAUUGUUGUUGGUCUUGCUCUGUCAGAUUCAGGAAAUACGGAUUUCAUAAUCAGAGAUGAGUUGCUUGGAGGAAUGUAUCACACGCUCCAUGAAUUACAUGGUGCAUUUGUCCACUGUGACACCAGUGUAUUUUUUCCAUUUCUCUUUCAUUUCAUAGAUCAGAUGCACUUAUUCCUGCAUCAUAUUCUAUUGCAUUGUCUUUUGGUUUUCUAAUUGAUUUUGGUGAUAGGGAAGAUGAUCCAUGUCCCGAGCAAAAAUGAGCAUGCUCUUGAUAUGGCUACUGCAGUUCAUCAUCAAUUAGGAGAUACUAAUGAGCUAAAUGAUGGCAAUGCCUCAAUGAAGAAGAGAACUAAUGUGUUACUUCUUGGUGAUCGCCUUGGAGAUCUAGGAAUGUCUGAUGGUUUGAACUAUGAGAACCAAAUUGUUGUUGGAUUCUUGUAAGCACUUGUGGUGAAGCUAAGGGAAGGCACCGGGCCAAAUGCUAAUACUGGUGUUGUCACUAGAGUUCUUGCAACUGUUGGGGAGCUUGCUAGGGUGGGAGGUUUUGGAAUGAAGCAAUAUCUUGGUGAACUAAUGCAAGUAAUUGUUGAAGCCCUCUUGGAUGGAGCUGCUAUUAUAAAGUGGGAAGUGGCUGUCGCAACUCUUAGUCAAGUUGUACAGAGCACUAGGUAUUGUGUUCUCAUUGCUAGUCCAAGCUAGAAUAAAGAAGGAUGGUUAUGUCAGCCUAUCAGGUUCGGGGGCUCCCUUGUGCCCACAAUUUCCAAGUGGAAUGCAUUGACGAGUGGCUCCAGCUGAAUGUGAAGUGCCCCCAUUGCCACUACUCCAUCUUCCCUAACCUCGACCUCAGCGCCCUCUCCAACCUUCACGCUGACUCUGGGCGUCCCUCUACUAGUGUUUUGACGGCCACACACUACGUGCACAUGCAACCAGUAGGCCAGAGCUACCUGUUGAGGUUGUAGGGCCUGCUAUGCACAAUCCGAAUGGAGAAUGCUGGUGGAGGCAAUGAUGAUGCUAGCCUGGAAGCAGCAGAAGAUGGAUGGGCAGUGUUAUCUCAGGGUCUACCAAGCACAACGGCACCGGUGAUGACGGGCAUGACCAUGACUUUGUAUUAUUUGUGGAACCUAAUGUUGUGUAACAAUUUGAUUAAGUUAAACUUUAAAUCGACUAUUGUUAACUAUUUUGUAGGUAUUGUGGCAUUCAUGA